RNAcentral lists this small RNA (552 nucleotides) under Pan troglodytes (chimpanzee). RNAcentral describes it as "processed transcript". The record is from RNAcentral. Lineage: Eukaryota; Metazoa; Chordata; Mammalia; Primates; Hominidae.
AAAGGUUUUCUGAGGGGAAGAGUGGUGAGAUCUGGGCUUUAAAAGAUGAAUCGAGAUGCAGUGUGUAGGAAGUAUGGGCAAGGGAUGAGGAACGCCACUUUGAAAAUUACUAAAACUAAAGCAAGUGGUUAAGAGUGUGAAUGACCCUGGCUGCAAUGACUACGCCUGCUGGGCUUCUAUUAAAAUUAGACUCUAUUUCCUGAGCACCCACAAAUGGACCUGACAAAGGGAAGACACAGAUGUACUGCGUGAUGAGGAAAGCCUAUCAGGAUUAAAAUAUGGCUGUGAGUAACUGUGGUCCUUCUUUAUACUUAAAAUAGCUGCCAUGUGUUAUUAUGAAGGCUUCUGAUGGUGGUAUCAAAAUCCUUUGAAAUAAUAGACUUGCACAGAUUUCCCUGGUCAUCUAAAAGAAAGAUGUCAUUAUUCAGUUAAAAGCAAACUUGCACAUUUUCUAAGAAUCAUUUUUACCAAAAAGGGACAUUUUACUGCGAGACAGACAUUUAAAAAUUUACAUGUCUUGAGAUAUUUUUGUAUUGUGGUAGCAAAAUGAUU